This is a non-coding RNA of Cyanistes caeruleus (blue tit), 1746 nucleotides long. Lineage: Eukaryota; Metazoa; Chordata; Aves; Passeriformes; Paridae. The record is from RefSeq and is a predicted model, not a curated record.
CGGCUAGGCCCGGCCGGCCCCGGCUGGCCCCGCGCGCUCGCCGCGCGAAGGAGAGAAGGGAUAGAGCAAGGCAAGAAAGGAGACACUGUUCAUUAAUGAUCGUUGGCAUAUGGCUGUGAGUGAGCAAAAUGAGUACUUGGGGUUCAACUGAAUAACAUAAUCAAAAUACUUCAUAAGAAUGAGAUGUUUCUGAAGCUACAAAAACUGUGACAAAAUCAAGAGAUGCUCACACAACUGCUUCAGUUAUUAAUUAAAGUCCAAUGUUGGAGAGCUCCACAAUGAUAACCCUUGCAGACCCUUGAAAAUUGACCAAAGUGGGAAAAGAUUGGUGUCUGCUUAUGUUUUAACUUCCUGUGGACCAGUCAGCUUUUUGGGAUCAGUAACCGCUGUUCAUCUGAUAUUCUGAACUGUCUUGUUGAGUCACUUUUCCUCUCUGAUUUUGCGUUGCUAGUUCUUUUAUUAAGCUCAUGUUAACUCCAGUUGGCAUUGCUUGCCACUACUUGUCAUGUCAGAAGUUUAUUUAUCUCCCCACAGAAGUAUGUUGUGACAGAUUGAUCAUCAAAGAGCUCAUUGUUUUCACCUGUUCUUGUCUUGACACUUCUCUGGCUGUUUGGGAACCUGUUUUCCGCCUGAGAUUGUGGAUGCUACCAGAAGAGUUGGGGUAUUUGAAGUGGAGUGCCAACAGUCUCAAGGUUGCCAGCUCUGGGCAGUGCCAAAGUCAAGCUUUCAGAUAAAUGGGAAAUGUGCUCAGUUACACACAUUAAUAUUAGCUGUAUACACACAUAUUUAUUAGCUGUUUUCAGAUAUUAUUUAUCAAAACUAGCAGUGAUCAAUACAUUCAGUGGUACAAAAUAUAGGCCUAAACUCUAUUCGUGUUUAAGACUGGAUGAAAACGGCUCAAGGACAAACCAAGAGAGGACCACUAGCCUGACCAUCUGGUGGGCUGGAGGUGAUGCUCUGGUUCAUGUUGCAGGCACAACUUUAAAUCCUACAGUUUCACUCAACUUGUUUAAACCAUGGAAAACUGAUAAAAACUAGAUAACAUAUAAUACCUUUCAUAGAGAGGUUUUGGAGUGACACUUUUUUUCUUCCCUCCUCUGGGCUGGAUUGAUGCAAAUAGAAUCCUCUCUGAUGGGCACCUUCCUGGGCAUCUCCUUUGGGAGCAGAAAGCUGUCUAGGGAUCUGUUCUGUGUUCCACACUGCUCCCUUAUGCUGCCUUAUGCAGAAUAUGAAUGUUUUCUUGCAGCCAGACCCAUGAAACAAAGAUGGGAGGUUUUCCCUGAGGUCAGAGGUCCUGCCUUGUCCUUACCUGGGGUCGUGUCCAGUGCAGCAUGUCAGCAGUGUGCUGUGUUAUGAAGUUUGUUCUCUGUGCCAGCUACCUAAUUUUGUGAUGUGAGUCAUCCCACCAGAAGCCGACCCCAAAUGACCAAGAGUUCAUUGCAUUCUGUCAGGAAUAAAGUUUGGGCAGGAUACAGGAUUUUUUUGGCUUCAGCAGAUGAGGUGAGCCCCUGGUGAAAAGAAUUUGAAAUUUCAAGUGGAAAUACGUGGAAGGAGGGAAGAAUGUACAAAUAAUGCCAAGAAACAGACCAACUUCUCUGGCACAAAAUAUGAAGAAGACUUUCCAGCUGGUGGUGGGGGACCCAAAACAAAUGUGGUGAUCAGAAAUGAAGACACUGAGUUAUCUUUUUAUUCCUGUUAGUAUAAGUAAUUUUCAAGUAAGAUGAUAAUAUAAAAUAUGUUGUGAAA